AUGAGGAUGUGGACAGCUUGGUGUGUGGCCACGUACUUCUUUGGAGCAAGUAAGGAAUCAGAGCUAAAAUUUCUUGUGUUGAAAGAAAAUGAGAAAGCUACUCUAACAUGCAGUCAAAAUGAUUAUCACGUUUCUAUAUACUGGUAUCUGCAGCAGCCAGGGAAGGGGCUGCAACUGCUCUAUUAUUCCAUUGGUGCAAAUCAGGAACAAGAGGGUGACAUUCACACUGGAUACAAAGCUAACUGGUUAAACCUCACAGACUUUUAUCUGUGAAGAUGAAUGAUUCAGCUGUUUAUUUCUGUGCCAGCAGUUUGGACACAACACUUCAAAGUCGCUUGCUUUCUUUACAUAAACUUCUCUCCUUUCCAGCACCUUCCCUCAGAAGGGAGCCGCUCUCAGCACAGGAGAAGGGUAUGCAGGCCAAUAGCCUAUUCACAAACCAGAUGUUGCCAAGCAGUUGGAACGAGAGGGGCAGAAUAGGUCUUUGAAGUGCAGGUUAAUUGCUGAACUCCUCCUUCCCGAUCAGCCAUUUAUUCUCUAUCUCAUCAGAACAAUCAAUAAAGGUUGUUAACCAAAUGCAGACGUAAAAUAAAGGAAAUGGAAACUGCAAUCUACACAGCCACAAAUUAUUGUCCCCUAAGCCAUUUUCUUACCUAACACAGAACAGUUAUGUGAA
Molecule: non-coding RNA, 676 nt
Organism: Harpia harpyja (harpy eagle)
Lineage: Eukaryota; Metazoa; Chordata; Aves; Accipitriformes; Accipitridae
Source: the annotation of a RefSeq genome assembly